AGAGUUUGAUCAUGGCUCAGAACGAACGCUGGCGGCAGGCCUAACACAUGCAAGUCGAGCGCCCCGCAAGGGGAGCGGCGGACGGGUGAGUAACACGUGGGAAUUUUCCUCAAGGUACGGAACAACUCAGGGAAACUUGGGCUAAUACCGUACGAUGCAGAGAUGCCAAAGAUUUAUCGCCUUGGGAUAAGCCCGCGUCAGAUUAGGUAGUUGGUGGGGUAAUGGCCUACCAAGCCUGUGAUCUGUAGCUGGUCUGAGAGGACGAUCAGCCACAUUGGGACUGAGACACGGCCCAAACUCCUACGGGAGGCAGCAGUGGGGAAUCUUGCGCAAUGGGCGAAAGCCUGACGCAGCCAUGCCGCGUGAAUGAUGAAGGUCUUAGGAUUGUAAAGUUCUUUCGCCCGUGACGAUGAUGACGGUAACGGGAGAAGAAGCCCCGGCUAACUUCGUGCCAGCAGCCGCGGUAAUACGAAGGGGGCUAGCGUUGUUCGGAAUUACUGGGCGUAAAGCGCGCGUAGGCGGUUUUGCAAGCCAGAGGUGAAAUGCCCGAGCUCAACUUGGGAAUUGCCUUUGGGACUGUGAGGCUUUGAGGACGAGAGAGGUGAGUGGAAUUCCCAGUGUAGAGGUGAAAUUCGUAGAUAUUGGGAAGAACACCGGUGGCGAAGGCGGCUCACUGGCUCGUUUCUGACGCUAAAGCGCGAAAGCGUGGGGAUCAAACAGGAUUAGAUACCCUGGUAGUCCACGCUGUAAACGAUGAGUGCUAGGCGUCGGCAGGCUUGCCUGUCGGUGCCGCAGCUAAC
Molecule: ribosomal RNA, 800 nt
Filed under: uncultured bacterium
Lineage: Bacteria
Description: bacterial SSU rRNA
Rfam family: Bacterial small subunit ribosomal RNA
Source: RNAcentral